AUUGAACGCUGGCGGCAUGCCUUACACAUGCAAGUCGAACGGUAACAGGUUAAGCUGACGAGUGGCGAACGGGUGAGUAAUGUAUCGGAACGUGCCCAGUCGUGGGGGAUAACUGCUCGAAAGAGCAGCUAAUACCGCAUACGACCUGAGGGUGAAAGCGGGGGAUCGCAAGACCUCGCGCGAUUGGAGCGGCCGAUAUCAGAUUAGGUAGUUGGUGAGGUAAAGGCUCACCAAGCCGACGAUCUAUAGCUGGUCUGAGAGGACGACCAGCCACACUGGGACUGAGACACGGCCCAGACUCCUACGGGAGGCAGCAGUGGGGAAUUUUGGACAAUGGGCGCAAGCCUGAUCCAGCCAUGCCGCGUGCGGGAAGAAGGCCUUCGGGUUGUAAACCGCUUUUGUCAGGGAAGAAAAGGUUCUGGCUAAUACCUGGGACUCAUGGCGGUACCUGAAGAAUAAGCACCGGCUAACUACGUG
RNAcentral lists this ribosomal RNA (477 nucleotides) under uncultured bacterium. Its description in RNAcentral is "partial 16S ribosomal RNA". It matches the Rfam family "Bacterial small subunit ribosomal RNA", at positions 30 to 507 of the family's 1533-position model. The record is from RNAcentral.